This 805-nucleotide ribosomal RNA is filed under the name Psychrobacter nivimaris. Its description in RNAcentral is "bacterial SSU rRNA". It matches the Rfam family "Bacterial small subunit ribosomal RNA", at positions 69 to 870 of the family's 1533-position model. Lineage: Bacteria; Pseudomonadati; Pseudomonadota; Gammaproteobacteria; Moraxellales; Moraxellaceae. The record is from RNAcentral.
CGAUGGUAGCUUGCUACCAGGCGUCGAGCGGCGGACGGGUGAGUAAUACUUAGGAAUCUACCUAGUAGUGGGGGAUAGCACGGGGAAACUCGUAUUAAUACCGCAUACGACCUACGGGAGAAAGGGGGCAGUUUACUGCUCUCGCUAUUAGAUGAGCCUAAGUCGGAUUAGCUAGAUGGUGGGGUAAAGGCCUACCAUGGCGACGAUCUGUAGCUGGUCUGAGAGGAUGAUCAGCCACACCGGGACUGAGACACGGCCCGGACUCCUACGGGAGGCAGCAGUGGGGAAUAUUGGACAAUGGGGGAAACCCUGAUCCAGCCAUGCCGCGUGUGUGAAGAAGGCCUUUUGGUUGUAAAGCACUUUAAGCAGUGAAGAAGACUCUUCGGUUAAUACCCGGAGACGAUGACAUUAGCUGCAGAAUAAGCACCGGCUAACUCUGUGCCAGCAGCCGCGGUAAUACAGAGGGUGCAAGCGUUAAUCGGAAUUACUGGGCGUAAAGCGAGCGUAGGUGGCUUGAUAAGUCAGAUGUGAAAUCCCCGGGCUUAACCUGGGAACUGCAUCUGAAACUGUUAGGCUAGAGUAGGUGAGAGGGAAGUAGAAUUUCAGGUGUAGCGGUGAAAUGCGUAGAGAUCUGAAGGAAUACCGAUGGCGAAGGCAGCUUCCUGGCAUCAUACUGACACUGAGGCUCGAAAGCGUGGGUAGCAAACAGGAUUAGAUACCCUGGUAGUCCACGCCGUAAACGAUGUCUACUAGUCCGUUGGGUCCCUUGAGGACUUAAUGACGCAGCUAACGCAAUAAGUAGACC